Molecule: ribosomal RNA, 460 nt
Filed under: uncultured bacterium
Lineage: Bacteria
Description: partial 16S ribosomal RNA
Rfam family: Bacterial small subunit ribosomal RNA
Source: RNAcentral
CCUACGGGUGACAGCAGUGAGGAAUAUUGGUCAAUGGGCUUACGCCUGAACCAGCCAAGUCGCGUGAGGGAAGACUGCCCUAUGGGUUGUAAACCUCUUUUGUCAGGGAGCAACGCCGGCUACGUGUAGCCGGACUGAGAGUACCUGAAGAAAAAGCAUCGGCUAACUCCGUGCCAGAAGCCGCGGUAAUACGGAGGAUGCGAGCGUUAUCCGGAUUUAUGGGGUUUAAAGGGUGCGUAGGCGGAAUGCCAAGUCAGCGGUAAAAUCGCGGGGCUCAACCUCGCUCCGCCGUUGAAACUGGCGUUCUUGAGUGGGCGAGAAGUAUGCGGAAUGCGUGGUGUAGCGGUGAAAUGCGUAGAUAGAUGGAAGAACACCAGUGGCGAAAGCGGCUCUCUGGUCUGUAACUGACGCUGAGGUUCGAAAGCGUGGGUAGCAAACAGGAUUAGAUACCCUGGUAGUC